AAAAUCCUUUUUAGAAACUAGAAAUUAAAAGAGAAAUAAUGCAAUUGGUCUCAUAUUUUUUGGAAUUAAAAUGAACUAGUUAUGAUUUUUUGAAAUGAAAUAAAAUAAAAGAAAAUAAAAGGAAAUUAAAUCAGAAAUUGAAAAAUGCUAAAAUAUGUGGCACGUUGGAUCCAAUCUCAUUAAUUGAGCUGACACAUCCAAGGGUUGUGGUAUGCGCGCG
RNAcentral lists this long non-coding RNA (220 nucleotides) under Lathyrus oleraceus (garden pea). Its description in RNAcentral is "Pisum sativum (pea) long non-coding RNA (PSAT_LNC025765)". Lineage: Eukaryota; Viridiplantae; Streptophyta; Magnoliopsida; Fabales; Fabaceae. The record is from RNAcentral.